This 64-nucleotide transfer RNA is filed under the name Dipodomys ordii (Ord's kangaroo rat). It matches the Rfam family "tRNA". From Rfam's summary of the family: Transfer RNA (tRNA) molecules are approximately 80 nucleotides in length. Their secondary structure includes four short double-helical elements and three loops (D, anti-codon, and T loops). The record is from Rfam by way of RNAcentral. Lineage: Eukaryota; Metazoa; Chordata; Mammalia; Rodentia; Heteromyidae.
GGUGGCUCAGCAGUAGAGCGCAUGCCUUGCACGCUUGAGGCCCUGGGUUCGAUUCUUAGCACCA